RNAcentral lists this ribosomal RNA (388 nucleotides) under uncultured bacterium. RNAcentral describes it as "bacterial SSU rRNA". It matches the Rfam family "Bacterial small subunit ribosomal RNA", at positions 28 to 418 of the family's 1533-position model. The record is from RNAcentral.
GACGAACGCUGGCGGCGUGCUUAACACACGCAAGUCGAGCGGUAAGGCCCUUUCGGGGGUACACGAGCGGCGAACGGGUGAGUAACACGUGGGUGACCUGCCCUCAGCUCUGGGAUAAGCCUGGGAAACCGGGUCUAAUACCGGAUAUGACUCCAUGACGCAUGUUGUGGGGUGGAAAGCCUUGUGCGGCUGAGGAUGGGCCCGCGGCCUAUCAGCUUGUUGGUGGGGUGAUGGCCACCAAGGCGACGACGGGUAGCCGGCCUGAGAGGGCGACCGGCCACACUGGGACUGAGACACGGCCCAGACUCCUACGGGAGGCAGCAGUGGGGAAUCUUGCGCAAUGGGCGAAAGCCUGACGCAGCGACGCCGCGUGAGGGAUGACGGCCUC